RNAcentral lists this long non-coding RNA (2297 nucleotides) under Castor canadensis (American beaver). Its description in RNAcentral is "lncRNA (ENSCCNG00000021596.1)". The record is from RNAcentral. Lineage: Eukaryota; Metazoa; Chordata; Mammalia; Rodentia; Castoridae.
GAAAGUAGCUAUAUAAGUAAAGUACAUUCAUUUUACUAAAUGAUCACUAAGUUAGAAACAUCUAACUAAUGUGCUUAGCCAGAAUAAAGAGCAGAUUUUAUGCAUGGCAUGUACAUUGGAUAAUUUUUCCCCAAUUUCUCUACAGCUUCUGGAGAUCAGACUGCUCAUAUUUGGAGAUACGUGGUACAGCUGCCGACACCUCAGCCUGUUGCCGACACUAGUCAACAAAUAUCUGGAGAAGACGAAAUUGAGUGCUCUGAUAAAGAUGAGCCUGAUAUCGAUGGAGAUGUGUCCAGUGACUGCCCUACAUUCGGGUUCCACUGACGUCUCUCAAAAGCCACCAGGGAGUGGUCAUAGCUGCUGAUUGGCUGGUUGGAGGGAAGCAGGUGGUGAAGCCUCGUGGGACAGAACAGCGAACCUGUAUGAUGUUGAGACAUCUGAACUUGUUCAUUCUCUCACAGGUACCUCACUAGAAAACGGUUGAGCUCCUAGUUGGUGCUGCCAGUUGAUGUUCAUGUGUCGAUGUCUGAGCCUGCAAAUGAUUUCUCGGCCAGAAUUGUUUUUAGUCCUCUUGGCUCUGGUUGUAAUUCUUGGAAAUCCUUUCUAAUUCACAGAACUGCUGGUAGUUAAAUUUAUUUUAUCUUUAGGAGAUUAAUUGUAGUAUGUAGUAUUUAGAUAUUUGAAAUACAGGUUGUUUUAUUGGUUUUUGUGUUUCUUGUGACAAAUUUCUAGAAACUUAAUGGUUUUAAAUAAGAGGAAUUUACUAUCUCAUGGUUUCCUGGUCAGGAUUUCUGGGUCCCUAGUAGCUACUCCUCUGCUCUGAGCCUUGCAGGCUGAAGUGAAGGUGUUGCCUAGGUGGGACCUCACCGAGGUUUGUGGUCUUCUUCCAAGUUUACUGGCUACCGGAGUAGUCCAUUUCCUUUUGACCAUGUGACUAGGUGUCCAUUUUCUUGAUACCUUCAAUUAGGGACUGUCCUGAGCACCUAGAGGCUGCCCUCGGUCCCUGGUGGACCCUCCAAAGGCAGUUUGCUAUCUUUCAGGCCAUCAGAACACAUCUCUGCUGAAUUUUUGAGGUUCUGGAGGGGCUAGCCACUUUAAAAGGGACCACCUGAUUAGGUCAGGCCACCUAGGACAACCUUUCUUUGAUUAACGCAAAGUAAACUGAUUUGGGACUUUAAUUACAUCAUGAAAUUCUUUUUGCCCUAUAGUGUACCCUAAUUACCAGAGUGGUAUCAUUAUGUUUUAGGUUUAGCCCAAAUGGAAGGGUAUAAUACAAGGUGUGUAUUUUACUGAAGGCCCAUAGUAUUAUGCUGUUAGAAGUUACUCUAGAAGUGAAGAAUUAAGAUUUAAAUUGCUGCAGUCAGACUGUUAAAGUGAUUUUUCUGACUUUCUAUUAGGAUCAGAAAAUGGGUUAUAUAAACAUCUAGUUCUCCCUGCUCCUUUUAAAUGGAUGACUGAAGGGACUUCAGGCCUCUGAGGUAGAACUGGUUCCACUGAGAUUCCAUGUACUGUGAAGUGAUUCCUAUAGGCUCAAUUUUCACUGGAUAUGGAGUCCGCAAAGAUUUUUGAUUCUUUCAGUCUAAUUGUGUGCCUGCAGGUGGAUGAUCUUGUGUUUUUAUUGUACUUGGUUGUAGGGCACGACCAGGAGUUAACUCACUGUUGCACACACCCCACCCAGAGGCUCGUGGUGACCUCCUCCCGUGACACGACUUUCCGUCUCUGGGAUUUCAGGGACCCUUCCAUCCACUCUGUGAAUGUUUUCCAAGGACACACGGAGUGAGUUGCCAUUGUUCAGAAAUCUUAACUAUUCAUGAAAAAGGUUUUAUGGAUUGCCAUUAAAACAUAAUUCUAAUCUUAAUUUUCAGUAUUUCCAACUUCACUGUCUUUCAGAAUGAUUGCUGCUUUCCUAAACAUUUUGCUACAUUUUUCAUAGGAUUUAAAAGAUUAAGAGAAGACCCUGAUACUCUUUCAGGAAAUUGGUGGGAUAGAAUGGAGCAGUUGGGGGAAGGGAGAGCACUCCAGGGUUGGUGGCAUGAGUAACAGGAAGGAUGAUCCUUGUCAUCCUUGAGAGAGUCCAACUGGAGCUGUUUUCAGCCACUUGAAAUUUAUUGCAGUGCAUCUUUUCACUCUGUUUUUUGAUAUUACAUGUAUUUGCAGAGCAUAUUUUGUGAGAUUGUGUGUACACACAGACAAGCAGAGACCCUCAUUCUAGUGUGUCCCUCUCUGCUUGGAUUUCUGUCAGGCAGCUUGAGCACGAGGAUAAUAAACUUGUUCUUCUCCCAGCCUGAUCCUUCUCA